UAGAGUGCUCAAAGCAGGCCCAGCCGCCUGAAUAUUCGUGCAUGGAAUAAUGGAAUAGGACCUCGGUUCUAUUUUGUUGGUUUUCGGAACUCGAGGUAAUGAUUAAUAGGGACAGACGGGGGCAUUCGUAUUGCGACGUUAGAGGUGAAAUUCUUGGAUCGUCGCAAGACGAACUACUGCGAAAGCAUUUGCCAAGAAUGUUUUCAUUAAUCAAGAACGAAAGUUAGAGGUUCGAAGGCGAUCAGAUACCGCCCUAGUUCUAACCAUAAACGAUGCUGACUAGCGAUCCGCCGGCGUUAUUCCCAUGACUCGGCGGGCAGCUUCCGGGAAACCAAAGUCUUUGAGUUCCGGGGGAAGUAUGGUUGCAAAGCUGAAACUUAAAGGAAUUGACGGAAGGGCACCACCAGGAGUGGAGCCUGCGGCUUAAUUUGACUCAACACGGGGAACCUCACCAGGCCCGGACACCGGAAGGAUUGACAGAUUGAGAGCUCUUUCUUGAUUCGGUGGGUGGUGGUGCAUGGCCGU
RNAcentral lists this ribosomal RNA (525 nucleotides) under Gonodactylaceus falcatus. RNAcentral's name for it is "SSU rRNA". It matches the Rfam family "Eukaryotic small subunit ribosomal RNA", at positions 767 to 1291 of the family's 1831-position model. Lineage: Eukaryota; Metazoa; Arthropoda; Malacostraca; Stomatopoda; Gonodactylidae. The record is from RNAcentral.